Molecule: ribosomal RNA, 396 nt
Filed under: uncultured bacterium
Lineage: Bacteria
Description: bacterial SSU rRNA
Rfam family: Bacterial small subunit ribosomal RNA
Source: RNAcentral
CUACCCUUGACAUGUAUGGAACCCCGCUGAGAGGUGGGGGUGCCCGAAAGGGAGCCAUAACACAGGUGCUGCAUGGCUGUCGUCAGCUCGUGUCGUGAGAUGUUGGGUUAAGUCCCGCAACGAGCGCAACCCUUGUCCCUAGUUGCUACGCAAGAGCACUCUAGGGAGACUGCCGGUGACAAACCGGAGGAAGGUGGGGAUGACGUCAAGUCCUCAUGGCCCUUAUGGGUAGGGCUUCACACGUCAUACAAUGGUCGGAACAGAGGGUCGCCAACCCGCGAGGGGGAGCCAAUCCCAGAAAACCGAUCGUAGUCCGGAUCGCACUCUGCAACUCGAGUGCGUGAAGCUGGAAUCGCUAGUAAUCGCGGAUCAGCAUGCCGCGGUGAAUACGUUCCC